CAGCAGCCCCCGGACCCGAGGCCUUGCACGUGCGGGCUCAAGUCUCUCAGCCGUCGCCGCCACCGCUCCCCGCCGCAAACUGAGGUGAGCAUCGUGUUCCUCACCUACCCCGCACCCAUCCCUGGCCGCCGCGCGUGCCUUCGUGCCGCCGGAAGUCGGCCGGAGCGAGCUUGCUCCGGCCAAGCCCGAAAUAGGGCUUAGUUUGGAUGGUUUACUGUUCCGAGCAACCCGAGCCUCCCCGAUCUCUGCAGAAGAGAGCACCAUGAUCGUAGCAAAUUGCUGAUCAUCGUGCUCACUUUAGUUUUUGUCGGGGAGACUCCGUUCCUCUGUUUCGGCGGUGUCGACCUUGUCGAGCCUUUUUGGCUGCUGUUUUGGGUUUGCGCACGCUUAUCCGGAGAUCCGAGGCUAUUCUAAUGCCUCCGGAGGUGAGCACGGUGAUCGUUGGUCAGUUCUGAUCACAGUGCUCACCUUACUUUGGAUCAGCGGAUGUCGUAUCGGCCUGUUCGGCGCGAUUUUCCCCGACUGCGUGUUGUUCGCUGAACCUUCGGGUUGCUCCCGCGCUUCCCACAGUGAGCUAUUGUGCUCCAGAUCAUGAGCACGGUCUCCGGUGCGUCGAGACCUGUCAGUACGUGUCACGGCGGACCUUGGAAGUCCUCAGUUUGCGUGAACGAGCCAUGUUAUCGCCCGAUUUACAUAAAAAUUAGGAUUUUAUGUAAAUAUAGGGGCUUUUGUGCAGUUGUGCGCCUUGUGGCUACUGUGGGCAGUGUAUAGGUGUGAGUGGUGACCUCUGGACUGAUUGUCCAUGAUCCGUUAGCUUUUGCAGAAAUCGAAGAGUUGAUUUCGAUGCGUUUUGCGGCGAAAUUCGCCGAAAGAAUGCGGUUUCGGUUCGGAUUUCUUCCGACGUCGUUUGGUUGCUCUGCGAGUAGUCGCUAAGCCUUGUUGGCUGGUCACCAUCACCACAUUGUGGGUUCGGUGAUGACAGGUGAGUGACGGUGGGUUCCGGUUUGACACUUUCGGGAACCCAUGUUCGUAUAAUUAUCCGGCGAUAAUUGUGUAGUGGUGUUAUCUUGUGUUUGCUGCCAAAACAUCCAAAUUGGAGUGUUUUGGGGCAGCAGGUGACUCGUGACACGAGUUGGUGAGUUUCGGGACACUUAGUGGGUCCCGACGGCCCGACGGCGUCCGGUGUGGUUUUCGAGACUUCCGACGAGUUACGGUAAUCGGUAUUGGGAAACUGAUCUUCGUGAAAUUAUUUGUGGGGUUGUGGAUACUGUGGUUAUUAGUUGUGGGUUAGAUACUAACCCGAUGGACCCUCUAUAGGUCCUGUCGACAUUCUUUUGCAGUCAGGAAACAGACGCGACAUCCUUACAGGUGGGUCCUUUGAUCCGACGUCGGUAUAGUGGUGCACGCUUGGUGAUGGUUUCUUACCCUUACUUUUCUGUUGUUACUAUCGCAUAGUAUAUUGAGCCUUGCACCCUUGUUUAUUCGUUAUACACUACUCGUUGUUUGCAUGCUUAGUAUCCCGAGUAGGAGUAGAGCAGUUCUAUCUAUAUGCAUAUCUGUUGACCUAGUUGGUCUGUUGUUGCAUUCCGUAUCUUUUGACCUAGUUGGUCUGUUGUUGCAUUCAGUAUCUUUUGACUUAGUUGGUCGGUUGUUGCAUUCCGUAUCUAUUGAUCUAGUUGGUUGGUUGUUGCAUUCCGUAUCUGUUGACCAGGUUGGUCGAUUCUCGUACUUCGUAUUGUUGACCCGGUUGGUGGUUUCUUGUACUUCGUAUCAGUGACCUGGUUGGUCGGUUCCUUGACUUCUGUCGUUCGAUGACCGUUACGGUCGAUGUACCCUAGAGGGGUUGGAUUGUUGGCUAAUGGCUGAUGGUAGUUCUGAAUUCUAUUGAUACACCUUGAUGACCCAUUCGUCGAUUCGUUGUGCAUAUAUCCUAGUUGACCUGAGUGGUCAGUCCUUGUGGUUCAUUGAGUAGUAUUUGCAUAUGUUUGAGAGGAUGAUGAUGUUGUCCCAUCCUAGUUGACCUAAGUGGUCAGUUCUUGUGCUUCCUUACAGUUGAUAACCUAUACGGUCGAUGAGCCCUGUAGGCAGGAUUGUCGGCUAGUUGCCGGCGUUUGGCCUUUGAGCAUAUCAGUAUUGACCACCCGAUACUCGUUCGCAUUUCACGAUCACCAGCGGUCUGAUCCACCGCAAGAGGGUGUUCUUUUUCGAAAAACUGGUGGCUUGUGUCAACCCGUGAGCCCCAGAGGAGUUAUAUGCUUUCAGCCUGAGGUGUUGGGUACCGAUAUGGCUUGUUUCUGGCAGAGUAGAUAUGGCAUAGGCCUGAGGUGUUGCGUACCAAUACGGCCAUUACAGAUUGGGUAUUUUGGACUUAUCGUCUAGUUGACGCAUAUAACUAUAGUAGCGGUUGUCGCUUGUAUACCUUCAGUUCUUUCGUUACAUUGUCUUGCUACUAUAGCCUUAUUACAUGUAUAUAUUCAGUUGUUCAUUACAGUAGCGGUAGUUGUACUUUCUUUCAUAUAUAUGUCUCAUUCAUUCAUUAUUAUUGCUACUGUAUUUUCUACUGACCCGUACUGUUGUUUAGCUCUUCCUGAUCCGGUGAGUACUCCUCGCCUUCAUCGGCUUGCGGUACCCACUGGGAGGGGAGACAUGUUUACAUGUUCUGACCUCCUCCACUAUUUUUCAGGUAUCGCAGACGGUGAGAGUAGAGACGAGACGUGAGACACGUUCGUAGUGGUCGCUAGAGCUUCCGACCCGGCUUGUUGGUUUAGUUCCUACCCUGUUUACUUGUGUUAUUAAUAGCUUUGAUAUUUCAUGGUUCAGUUGGUUUAUGUUAUUCUAAUUCAUGUGGUUUUGAAUGAACUAUAGAACUUGUGGAUUUUGUGAAAAGGAAAAAAUAGUUUCUACCCCUCGUGGUAGCGUUUUAAAAAGAAAAGAGUUUUCGUGUGGGAAACAACUUUCAAAGGUUUCUUUUGUAGUUUUCAUAACUUAGUAUUUCAAAACCCGUUUCUGAGUUGGAAACGUUUUAACUAAUUUAUAGUUGUGAUUUUAUGUUCAAAUCAUGAAUGUGAACCUGUGCUCAAUGGUGUGUGGAUAUGUAUAGAUGUUGGAUGUCUGUAUGUUCAGUGUAGUGGUUGUAUCCUGGUUAUACUCUUGUACUUGUGCGACGCCGUGCAAAUACAGGGGAGACUCUGUCCGUGUGAACAGUGGAUUUCCUGUAUUUGUGGCGUAUCUGGCAUACCCUGGGGUCAGGUUUUCAAAAAAAAAAAUUUCUGCUGUGUUUCAAACUAAAUGCCACCUCAGGGCGUGACAGAUUAAAGUGGUAUCAGAGCCAAGUUACAACCACAACACCAUUCACAGGUUGUUUUGAAAAGUAAAUGAACUGAACCAUUGGUUAGGUUGACCCAUAGGAAGACCUAUGGUAUAUAGGCACGUGAGUGCGGGGUUUGGACUUGUGUCCGGGGUUGCAUUCGAGUUGGGUAAACUCGGAGUGCAUGGUUAAUUCCGUAUAUGCUACGGUUUUCGCACAAGCUAGCUAGUGUCUUAGUCGGGAGUAGUGGCGGUGCUUCUUUUUGGACAUUGAGUGGUGGGGCGGUGUUCCCCAGGGGUUUCCACUCCUGUCAGGUGGGGCCUUGAAGGGCCAGGUGAUUUUCGGGCCUAGGCGAGUGUCUUAACUGCCGACGCCCGGGCCGCUCUUCCUACUUAAGACAUGAGAGCUGUUGCGAGUGUCUCUACGGAGACGGCACUUAGACUAGUUACGGUCGCGACUUUAGUAGGGCUACUAGAGUGUAGCCCAGGGUUUGGAUAGCGGUCGUUUCGGCGACUGCAUUGUUAGUGUUGCUUCCGCAGAUCUUUGGGUAGGGUUGCGAUGCCUACCUCUCUUCCUUGAUUGCUGAUGAAAUCAGCGGUUUGGGGCCUCUAUCUGGGUAAUUUGCCGAUUAGAGUCACCAGUGGCUUGUGGAUGUUGAAAGUUAUAGUACUCCCUGUGAGUCGGUUCAGGGUCGUUCUAAUUUCGAAUGUCGACUUGUAAAGUCGAUGUUUCGUUAGUAAUGGUUGUAAGCUUCUGGUUCAGUGGAGAGGUAUCAAGUGGCUUGAUACUUUAUCGCGUUGUGCUUCCAACUUGUUGUUGGUAGUGGAUCUUCGGAUAUUUUGCUUUUCUUUUGAUAAGUAUAUUGGCUGCAAACAAUAUACUGUCGAAAGAUGGACGAAAUACUAUCUUUCCAUUUGAGACUUAUGGAUUGGGUCGAUGUGUUCUCUAGACUGUCUUGUGGGAAAAGCUAGAGUGAUGGUCAUCUCUGACCAUGUGGCGAGCCUUGGAUUAUUCCCUGACAGGUUUUGCGCAAUUGAUUUAUCGUCACUUCUGAUGGUAUUGACUUUGGUUCGAGGCUAGGUGAUCGUUGGUCCUAUUGUUGCGCCUUCCAUAGUUAAAGAGUUUCUUGGUUAGUAGUCUCGGUUUGUUGUCGUGAGGUUUAGAAUCAGUGGUUGAGUGACUUGAGCUUGGUUGUUGACUUUGUUUGUCACUAUAUGUGAUAGCAUGAAAUGUUUGCGACUUGGCUUAUCGUGCAAACCUUGGGUUGGCUUGCUUGUCCGGUUAUUUGGUGACAAGUGCACCUUGGUUUCAAUGAGACAGGUAUUUAGGUGUUGCUCGGAACAUCGAUCUCUAGGGUCCCUUGUAGGACGGCAGCGACAGGGUCUCGAGGAGGCAGGUGUUGAGCAUCACUGAUGGUUAGUAUUGCAUUUGCGAUUAGCGACCUGUGCAUCAAGUGAUGGACUUGCAAAGAGCAUUUGGUGGUCUGUUGGUACCGGAUUAAGUUUGAGGGGACAAAAUUGUUUAGCUCAGUUGGUAUUGUCAGUUGGAUCUUUUGGUCAGGUGGAAAAUGAGGUCUUGGACCUAGGACUAUAGAUUGUCACAUGUGACUUUCCGUUAAUGGAGGUUUGACUUUGGCUGUUUGUGUUUGUGUGAUAACUGGUGGGAGAUUGUGGUCUUCGAGGUGAGUGUUAUCGACUCGUGUUUCUUCAACGUGAGCUAGCGACGUAGUCGAGUCGGUUACGGCUACACGGACCAAGAUAAAGUGGAUUUAGUGUUUCUGGGUGAUGAACUGUUAUCUCAGAAUUUGCAAAUUGGGAUCGAAUAAUCCUAGUCGCGGUACUGUUUUUUUGUCCGCAAGUCAUAGGAUUGUGUUGAUUCCGGUGAGUUUUGGUUCGUGGAUUUUGGGUUGGUAUGUUUCCUUGACUUGUCCGAGUAGAAACGUAGUCCUUGGUGUCUCCCCUUCUUCGGAGGUUGAGCUGUCCAAAUGAAUGGUGAUUGACCAAUUCUUAAAGGUGAUAUCGCAUUGGUGGAUCAAUGUUUGAAUCCGAUUACGGUAGAUACGUGGUCAAGUUUCGGGGACGAAACUUCUUUUAAGGGGGGGAUAAUAUAAGGACUGAGAUUUUGACAGUGCAACUAAACUCUCUGUUGACGAUGUUUAUGUGUGUAAUUUCAUUACACAAGCGGUUGUCAAGUUUCAGGAGAAAACGAGUUAGAACGGAGAAGUUACGCGAUUUUUAAUUUUCACUUAAGUGAAUAGUAACUCCGGUUUUUCGGAGAAGCCACGGAGUAGAGUUGGCUUCUGGUGCGUAUCGGACUCCGUUCAUAGCGAUUCAAUAGCUCGUUUUGAUCAGUUCAGCUAUUCUGGAACUAAUGGCGCUGACGGAUUUUAAGUUUGACGCACGAAUUUUGAGAAAAUCUAAAAAUACAUGUUUUAUAUGUAUUUGUGCGUAGUUCUUCUUUUGGAGAGUUGGAACGGUUCUCGUCGCGAAUCCGUGACCGAUCGAGAUGAACCAAAAUGGUAGCUUUGUUGUCUCCAUGGUUCUGAUCGCACUGGUGCAAUCCGUUCGCAAAUCUGACGGACGGAUCUGCGAAGAUCGCACGUUGAUCGAGGAGAGGUCGGCGAUGGCAAAACGGUAAUUUCGCAAAAGUCGCGACAUUUUAUGUACUAUUUUACGCGAGAUUGCAUGUGGAGGGGUAUUCGUGCAUUUUAUUCAAGCUGUGAGGGACUCGGAACGAAAUAUCGAGUUUGGAGGGACUUUUGCGCGAUUUAUCGCCUAACGUAUUUAAAGGCUUCUAGGGUUUUCCAGGAAACCCUAACCCUUGGUCCCCUCCUCUUCCUUAACAGCCUUCUUCACGUUCCCCUGCUCUCCCCGCGCGCGCCCCGGCCGCCUGAGCAUGCCGCCGGCUCCCGGAGCUGGCUGCUCCUCCACCUCCUCCAUUGUUCCUUGCUUCACCACCCUUCACCCCCCACUUGUGCUACUACCAGGGUGAACCCUUACCCUCGGGCUCCACCUCUGACAGCAGGCCCAACCUCGGCGACCAUCUCCGUCGGACGCCGCCACCACCGAGCGCCGCCGCCGCCGCCUUGGCAAUCCUGCGGCCAAGCUCGGGCAGAUCCGGUCGAGGUGGUUAGAUCUCUCUCUCUCGCGCCGCCGCCGCCUAGGGUCGGCCGCGACGCCCUCCCCCGACCUCCGGCACCCCCUCCCCCGGCCGGAAGGGUCGCCGCCGCCGCCACACGCCUUGGGCGCCGCCGCCCAGGGCUGCAGACCGAGUCAAGCUCGGCGCGGUUGUGCCCGAGCCGCGGGCUGCCGCUGCCGUCGCCCGCCGCCUCCUCCUCCCCCUGCGGCCUCUGGGGACCCGCUGCCGACGCCCCCGACCUGCCCCAGCCGCCGCCGUGGCUGCAGCAGCCCCCGGACCCGAGGCCUUGCACGUGCGGGCUCAAGUCUCUCAGCCGUCGCCGCCACCGCUCCCCGCCGCAAACUGAGGUGAGCAUCGUGUUCCUCACCUACCCCGCACCCAUCCCUGGCCGCCGCGCGUGCCUUCGUGCCGCCGGAAGUCGGCCGGAGCGAGCUUGCUCCGGCCAAGCCCGAAAUAGGGCUUAGUUUGGAUGGUUUACUGUUCCGAGCAACCCGAGCCUCC
RNAcentral lists this long non-coding RNA (6946 nucleotides) under Ananas comosus (pineapple). RNAcentral describes it as "long non-coding RNA (ACOM_LNC001082)". The record is from RNAcentral. Lineage: Eukaryota; Viridiplantae; Streptophyta; Magnoliopsida; Poales; Bromeliaceae.